UGAAAACGGACCUGAUGUGAUGAUGACAUCACGAAGGGAUGAGCCUUGCUUUAAGUAACAAUAGCAGUGAUGAUGAUAGCCAGACUGAUGUACCAGAAGGUGACCCCACACUACUUGCUGAAGACGCAGCCUUAGACAAAGCAGCAGGGAUGUCUGACCACAUCAAAAUGCCCGCAAAACCAAUUCAUUGCAGGUGUAAGCUGGAUAAUGGGAAUCCCUGCAUUCAGCAAUUCACUGAAGAGGAGACUGAUAGUAUCAGUUUGAAUGUACUCGAGAUGAAAAGCUACAAGAAAGACCUAUUUUUGUUAGGCAUCAUAUGUGCAAUCACCAACAACGUAGAAAUCAAAACGGGUUAACUGAGAACGCCAGUUGUCCAGGAUUCAUUACUUCAGCUACAAGCACAGAAGGAUCUGCCGGGACACCUUCCUGCAUCUGAUGACCAUAUCACGGGACAAACUCACCAAUCUGAAAAGAUGGUACCUGACUCAUGGAAUCUGCCCAUGUAAGAAGAAAUCAGACAUUUUAAAUUUAUCUAAUUUGCAUGAUUGAAAACCGAAAAUGUACACAUGUAGGCACAUUAUGGGAGUUUACACACACCUACAAAUCUUGCAAAGUCUGUUGAAAUUAAUUUGUGCGGCGGUCGCCGUCAAAUGUCUUUGAGCAUCACCGACAUUCAGAGGGUUUCCAGGUUCAUCCUAAAUUUCACUGAACAGCACAGCAUCAUUCUUUCAGGAAGAAUUCCUGGCUUCAAAAGAGAUGACAUCAAAGUGUUGCCUAUCUCAGAAACGAAGGCAUCUGUGUGGCAUUGCUACAGGAAAGCCUCCACACCCAACGACCGAAUAGUUGGCAUUUCCACUUUUAGUAAGUUGUGGCGUGAGCUUUUGCCCUACAAUGUGAUCUGCAAGCCUAUGUCAGAUUUGUGUUGGACCUGCCAACGGAACAACCACCUCAUUUUCGGCAAAUCAAUGUUGCAGAAAAGCGGAAGACAGAGGUUCUCUGUACUCACGAGGCACACGACAAUCAAUUUUUACCAUUGAUUAAUAGCGUGAUUGGCUGAAUGCUUAGCACAGUGUUCUACAGGAAAAUCCCUUAGUUAUAUACAACAGCUAUUUCAUUUACAAAUUAUAUUCUUGCUUUUAUUUCUAAUGAAGUUAUUUUAGGGCUGACUGUAUAAAACAACAUUAGUAACAAAAACUGCUGUUUAAAAAAUGCUAUUUGAUAUUGGUAUUUGUAUACCUACACAGACUUUUUAUAAGACAUAAGUUUAGUGAGUUUCUGAGUGAAUAAGAGAGGAUUUGUUUAUUUCAACUACAUCAUUCACAGAGUUCAAUUCUUGAAAGAUAGUCAAGUUUGUUUGAAUGACCUUAUUUCCAAAAGAUGCUUUUUUUUUAAACAAGAAGGCUUUUAUCAAAGAGACUAAUUUGGUGGUUCAGUUGGCUUCAAAAUGCGAGGCUGCAUGGAAGUUCGAGUGACCAAUCAGGACUGGCGUCACUGACAGUGAACAUAUCUUGAUUAAAGAAUGUUUCUGUUCAUGUUUACUUCAACCAUGAUUAGCGUAAUACGGGAGAUGGGGUUCAAGUAUUUUCGUAACAAAGUAAUCCAAACAAUUCAUUUAACUUUGGUGAAAAUCAAUUUAAAAAAUUUCAUUUUUUCAAUAUAUCCUUGUUUUUAUGUAUUUUUUCUUCCAUAGUGUUUCCUUCAGUUACAUUUUCUACUUGCUAGCUCUUGCACUAAUUUCAAAAACCUGUUAGAAUGUCCAAAUGUCCAGUGUACAUUCUGAGUACUCUAUAUCUAACAAAAUCAACAUUGUUAUAUGAUCAAUAUUCAUUAUAAUAUGAUCAUUAAUACAUGUAUUAUAAAGGCGCAGGAUUCAUGACUACCUCUUUAACUUGACCUUGUAUGGAUGAGUAGCUCUGUAAAAUUCCUGAACUAGCACCAGCCAGAUGUUUAUAACCUUCGCAAAUGGUUUGCAAAGUAUUUCUGAGGUCAGGUCUAAUGGUUGCAGCUCCACUAGUUAUUGUGGGAGAUAAAAUGGCACACUAGAGUUGAUCUUUAGAAUGGUACUACGAAAAUAUGCAUGCUGUAGGUAGAUGCUAUUUGGGUAACAUGAAUGCUGUAGACAACAGGAUUUUUAACAUAUUUUGAUGACAGCAACCACAGU
Long non-coding RNA from Acanthaster planci (crown-of-thorns starfish), 2161 nucleotides. The record is from RefSeq and is a predicted model, not a curated record. Lineage: Eukaryota; Metazoa; Echinodermata; Asteroidea; Valvatida; Acanthasteridae.